CAUUAAGAAGCUAUGCACCAGCGCUAGCCUUUUAAGCUAGAGAAAGAGGAACUUUUUUCCCUCCUUAAUGG
This 71-nucleotide transfer RNA is filed under the name Otus scops. RNAcentral describes it as "tRNA-Lys". The record is from RNAcentral. Lineage: Eukaryota; Metazoa; Chordata; Aves; Strigiformes; Strigidae.